Molecule: non-coding RNA, 75 nt
Organism: Myotis davidii
Lineage: Eukaryota; Metazoa; Chordata; Mammalia; Chiroptera; Vespertilionidae
Source: Rfam
GGCAGUUCUCAGGUGAUGCACCCUGGAAUCGAGCUCCCUCCUCUCUGGUUCCGGGUGCAUAACCCAAGAACUGCA